This 253-nucleotide ribosomal RNA is filed under the name uncultured bacterium. RNAcentral's name for it is "partial 16S ribosomal RNA". It matches the Rfam family "Bacterial small subunit ribosomal RNA", at positions 524 to 776 of the family's 1533-position model. The record is from RNAcentral.
UACGUAGGGGGCAAGCGUUGUCCGGAUUUAUUGGGCGUAAAGAGCGUGUAGGCGGCCAGGUAGGUCUGCUGUGAAAACUCGAGGCUCAACCUCGAGAUGUCGGCGGAAACCAUCUGGCUAGAGUCCGGAAGAGGAGAAUGGAAUUCCCGGUGUAGCGGUGAAAUGCGCAGAUAUCGGGAAGAACACCCGUGGCGAAGGCGGUUCUCUGGUACGUGACUGACGCUGAGACGCGAAAGCGUGGGGAGCGAACAGG